AUGGAGGAAAUGCUGAACGCGAAGAGAUGGGCCUGCGUGUCAAGUACGGCACAGAGACAGGGCCUCAAUGCAAGGGAUGGUCGGCAGCCACGGGAUCCCCGCGUCUGGAGGAACAGCAGGGGCGGACCUCCGGGAACAAGGGCCUCCUUGCAGCGUCGGAGCCGAGUUCGCUCAGGACACUCCGAUACGUCUUCCCCCACCUCGGGGGUCGCUCCCCCGAGCGAUCGAAGGCGCCGCGGGGCGCUGCGGGGGCCGCGACUUCCGACCCUCCCGAGAGGCACCCGGAGGCGGCGCGGAGCCGCGGGCCGGGCAGGGGGCGGGAGCGGCGGCGCCUGCGCGCCCCCCGCCCGCCGAGGGGCCGCGCCGGGCGCUGGGGCGGGGUCUGCGGGCGCCGACGGGGCGGGCGGCGGAGGGCGCCACGUCGGCAGCGGAGGACGGAGCGGGAGUAAAGUCUCCGCCGGGCCGGGUCGCGCCGCGCUCGCCGCGACGCGCGGUGGAUGCAGAAAAUCUCCGGGGAAACAGCUGACCUGACACCUCUUUCGCAAAGGAAUAUAUUUUGGGACGUACCUUUAGUUGGGAGAGUGAAGAGGAGCCUCCCUUAGGAAACAGCAGUCGGGUGACUGUGGGCUCCCUUCCAAGGUGGGACAUAAGCACUUGGAUCUCAUCACACCAAGGAGACACUGAAUUGUAG
This 691-nucleotide long non-coding RNA is filed under the name Phasianus colchicus (ring-necked pheasant). RNAcentral describes it as "lncRNA (ENSPCLG00000011462.1)". The record is from RNAcentral. Lineage: Eukaryota; Metazoa; Chordata; Aves; Galliformes; Phasianidae.